UUUUGGUAUGUAUAUGUUAAUUUAUUUUAUUGUUUUAGUAGAUUAUUUUUAUGUUGUUUUGGGGUAAGUAAGAAAUGGAUGCGUGGUUUGUUUUUGUAAAUUUUUUUGAGUAGUUAGAUGAUUAAAUGUUUGGUUAUUUUAUUGUAUGGUUUGAAUUAAAGAAAUAAAAAAGGGGGAGAUGCGGGGAGUGAGUUUUGUUUUUGGUAAAGGUUAUGAGGAA
This 220-nucleotide unclassified non-coding RNA is filed under the name Hevea brasiliensis (rubber tree). The record is from RNAcentral. Lineage: Eukaryota; Viridiplantae; Streptophyta; Magnoliopsida; Malpighiales; Euphorbiaceae.